Hemicordylus capensis (graceful crag lizard) is the source of this 524-nucleotide long non-coding RNA. RefSeq lists it as uncharacterized. Lineage: Eukaryota; Metazoa; Chordata; Lepidosauria; Squamata; Cordylidae. The record is from RefSeq and is a predicted model, not a curated record. The transcript has 5 exons.
GGAGGCCCCAAGCAAGGAAGGAAGGAAGGAGGCAGGCAAGCAAGCAGGCAGAGUGGCCCACACAGCUCUCUGCAGCAGACCCUCUGCCCAGCCCAGCAUUUGCCAGGUUACUCAAACUGCAUUGUAUCUGGAGUUAUAUAGGAUGGAGAAACUCCUCUCCUUGUCACUAUCCUGUUGACUGCUGGUUCCACCAUCCAAUCAGCAACUGUGUAGCUUAAUGUUACUACACAAAAAGUAACAUGUAUCUUGGGGGUAUCAUUGGAUACCUGUAAAUCAUCCCUCACAGCUGUGGCUUGAGGAAACUUCACUGGGAGAUGAGCUGAUAGAGGGAUGGGGUUGAUGAGAUGACCAAUCUUCCCUCCAUGAUUCGCAGUGUACAACAGGAUCCAUAGGAAACAGGAUCAGCUGAAAGGGGGGAAAGCAACUGACUAUAUUCACCCCCAGCACAGCAUCCCUCCAGUGAUUAUUGGUGGUAUGACUGAGCCCUUUGGGAAGAGGGUUCCUCCUCGUUCUGUGUAAAUUAC